AUUUAUAUAGUUUAAUAAAACAUUACAUUUUCAUUGUAAAAUUAAGAAUUUAAUUCUUUGUAAAUA
This 66-nucleotide transfer RNA is filed under the name Aleocharinae sp. 6 EF-2015. RNAcentral's name for it is "tRNA-Glu". It matches the Rfam family "tRNA". Rfam says of the family: Transfer RNA (tRNA) molecules are approximately 80 nucleotides in length. Their secondary structure includes four short double-helical elements and three loops (D, anti-codon, and T loops). Further hydrogen bonds mediate the characteristic L-shaped molecular structure. tRNAs have two regions of fundamental functional importance: the anti-codon, which is responsible for specific mRNA codon recognition, and the 3' end, to which the tRNAs corresponding amino acid is attached (by aminoacyl-tRNA synthetases). tRNAs cope with the degeneracy of the genetic code in two manners: having more than one tRNA (with a specific anti-codon) for a particular amino acid; and 'wobble' base-pairing, i.e. permitting non-standard base-pairing at the 3rd anti-codon position. Lineage: Eukaryota; Metazoa; Arthropoda; Insecta; Coleoptera; Staphylinidae. The record is from RNAcentral.